Molecule: ribosomal RNA, 546 nt
Filed under: uncultured bacterium
Lineage: Bacteria
Description: bacterial SSU rRNA
Rfam family: Bacterial small subunit ribosomal RNA
Source: RNAcentral
GAGGCAGCAGCUGAGGAAUAUUGCGCAAUGGGGGCAACCCUGACGCAGCAACGCCGCGUUGAGUGAGGAAGGUUUUCGGAUCGUAAAGCUCUGUCGAGUGGGAAGAAAUGUAUCAUGGCUAAUAUCCAUGGUAUUUGACGGUACCGCUAAAGGAAGCACCGGCUAACUCCGUGCCAGCAGCCGCGGUAAUACGGGGGGUGCAAGCGUUGUUCGGAAUCAUUGGGCGUAAAGGGCGUGUAGGCGGCUUGGUAAGUCAGAUGUGAAAGCCCUGGGCUUAACCCAGGAAGUGCAUUUGAAACUGUCAGGCUUGAGUAGGGAAGAGGAAGGUGGAAUUCCUGGUGUAGAGGUGAAAUUCGUAGAUAUCAGGAGGAACACCGGUGGCGAAGGCGACCUUCUGGUCCUAUACUGACGCUGAGACGCGAAAGCAUGGGUGGCAAACAGGAUUAGAUACCCUGGUAGUCCAUGCCGUAAACGAUGUUCACUAGGUGUUGGGGGUAUUGACCCUCUCAGUGCCGAAGCUAACGCAUUAAGUGAACCGCCUGGGGA